Molecule: long non-coding RNA, 3312 nt
Filed under: Canis lupus familiaris (dog)
Lineage: Eukaryota; Metazoa; Chordata; Mammalia; Carnivora; Canidae
Description: lncRNA (ENSCAFG00845002313.1)
Source: RNAcentral
UUUUUUUUUUUUUUUAAGAUUUUAUUUAUUUAUUCAUGAGAGACACAGAGAGAGAGGAAGAGACAUAGGCAGAGGGAGAAGGCUCCAGGCAGGGAGCCCGAUGUAGGAUUUGAUCCCAGGACUCCAGGAUCACUCCGUGGGCUGAAGGCAGGCAUUAAACCGCUGAGCCUCCCAGGGAUCCCUCAAUAUUGGUUUCUUUUGAGGUGUUUUGCUGCAAAAGGGAGCUGGUUUAGUAGCAGAUAGACUAGGUAGUACCAUGUGUAUACACUCAUAGGAACAAUACAGUAGGGAAGAAAAUUAAUGACAUAGGAAAGGAAAGAAAUUAUGGCACAAAGACAUUGAAUGGAGGGAAUGGUUUUAAAAAGGAGAAUGAAUGGAGUGAUGGGCUGGCUCAGUCACGGAGCAUGAUUUGUCAUCUUGGGAGUUGUGAGUUUGAGCCCCAUGUGAGGUAUAGCAAUUACUUAAAAGUAAAAUCUUAAAACAACAACAAAAAACAACAUAAAAAGAGCAUGAACAACUCAGUAGGCAAGAUGGAAAUAUAUACAUGGGUGCAGAUAGUAGUGAGUAGAUGAUGCUGUGGGAGUCAAUGGAAAUUCUCCAAUUGCUUCAACUUUCUUAAUAAAGUAGGAGGAAAGGUCAUCUGUUGACAGAAAUAAUCAUGGGUCAAAGAAAUAAAGUAUGCUUGUCAGGUAGUAUUAAAUGCUUUCUUAAGGAUUCUUUUAAAGAUUUUAUUUGAGAGAGAGAGCACGAGGACAGAAGCUUAACCAACUGAGCCACCCAGGCACUCCCUUUCUUAAGGUUUUUCUUUUUUUUAAGAUUUUAUUUAUUUAUUCAAGAUUUUAUUUAUUUAUUCAGAGAGGGAGAGAGCACAAGCAAGGGGAGAGGGAGAGGUAGGCAAAAGGAGGAGAAGCAGACUCCCUGCUGAGCAGGGAACCGGAUGCAAUGCGAUGCAAUGUGAUGCGGGGCUCCAUCCCAGGACUCCGGGACCAUGACCUGAGCCAAAGGCAGAUGCUUAACCAACUGAACCAUCCAGGUGUCCCUGUUAAGAUUCCGAUCAGGAAUUUAUAUUAUUGCAGUGAGACUGGCCAACUUACUUUUCUCCAGCUACAUUCCACUACACGGGUGCAAGUGCAGAGCACACAGACUAGCCAAGGAUGUGGCUUGUUGGCAAAUAUUCACAAGAGUGGUGGUGACUGACAAUGGAAGGAAAAGAGGACGUCAGAAUGGUGAACAAGAUGGUAGCAUCCAUUUAUUGAUGGUCACAGUGACUCCAAAUUAAUGUAUUAGGGCAGCCCUGGUGGCUUGGUGGUUUAGUGCUGCCUUCGGCUCAGGGCGUGAUCCUGGGGACCCGGGAUCGAGUCCCACGUCGGGCUCCCUGCGUGGAGCCUGCUUCUCCCUCUGCCUGUGUCUCUGCCCCUCUCUCUCUCUGUCUCUCAUGAAUAAAUAAAAUAUUAAAAAAAUUAAUGUAUUAGAGGAAAUGGCCUAGCAAGAUAAUAGGUGGUCAGAGAGAGGGAUGCAUGAAAUUCAAACUAUAGUGACUGAAAAGACUGGUAAUGACUUGGGAAUGAAUGCCCAAGGAAGGUCAAAGACCUAAUCAAUGGACUUUCACAGGAACCAAGAGGCUUGCUAGUUGGAUCAUUUGUCAAUGGUUUUCAAACUUUAGCAUGUGUCAGAAUUACCUGGAAAACCAGUGAAACCACAGAUUGCUAGAUCCUACUCUCAGAAUUUCUAGGUCCGAUUCUGAGGAUUUUCAUUUCUAAGUUUCCUGGUGAUGUUGCUGCUGCUGUGGUCCAGGGACCAUACUUUGAAAAAUACUGAUCCAUGUGUAUGUUGAAAUUGCCAAUUAUUAACAUGUAAGUAGUUUUGCAGAGUGACAGCGAGCCAAGAGAAAAAGAUUGUCAAGAAAUAAAGAACAGCUGGGGUGUCUGGGUGGCUCAGUUGGUAGAGUCCAACUCUUGGUUUUGGCUCAAGUCAUGGUCUCAGGGGUCAUGAGACUGAGCCCUAUGUCCUGUUGGUCUCUGCACUCAGUGGGGAGUCUGCUUGAAAACUAUCUCCCUCUGCCCCCCUUGCUCCCCACCUCCCUGGCUUACAUGUGCACAUUCUCUCAAAAUCUUGAAAAAAAGGGCAGCCCUGGUGGCUCAGCGGGUUUAGCGCCGCCUCCAGCUCAGGGCGUGAUCCCGGGGACCCCGGGGUCGAGUCCCACAUCGGGCUCCCUGCAUGGAGCCUGCUUCUCCCUCUGCCUGUGUCUCUGCCUCUCUCUCUCUGUGUCUCUGAAUAAAUAAAAUGUUAAAAAAAAUACUGAAAAAAAGUAAACAUUAAAAAAAUGAAAUAAGUUUGGUGACUAAUGAACUGCAACCAUCAGGAAUAGUGGAUAAUGUGAUGAGAUCUAAAAUUGGCUUUUAUGGGGACUGGUUGGAAAUUGUGUGGCUGAAGCAAAGGCUGGUAGCAGAAUGAGAUUAAGGCAAGGCUACAGGCAGAUCAUCAAGGGUCUUCCAUGUCAAUACUUUAAUAGUAGUGGGGUAAGCAGUUCAGUGUGGGUUCCCUGCUAAGGGGAUCUCUGGUGGAGCUGCUUUGUGGUUAUCUUGAGUGAUAACCAUACCAAUUCAUUUCUGGAAGAAAUAAAAAGUAUACUAACUAGGAAAUAUUAAGUCUCACAAAGUUAGAUGUCACUUAACAUGAGUUUAGGUAGGAUGAUAUCUGAUGGGACAAUAAAGCUUAAGUAGCUUGAUAGUAGGGCAAAAUAGAACAUUACUAUAGAAUGGAACUGUGAAAGUACAAUACAGGGAGGUUUAUGAGGCGGUCAGGCAUAAACUAUGAAGUCAGGGCAUAGACUAUGACAUGGGGUCACUAUCUGGGCCCAGUUUGGGAUGCCACUUAUUACUCAUGGGAUCAUUUAAUGUUUCUGCUUAGUACCUAUUAAAUGGGUCUAUCAUUUAUGCCACAGACCUGAGGGAAAAGUCGAGGGUGAAAUGACAUAGUGCAAGUGCUUUGAGGAUGUGAAGAAAGUAAAGUGCAUUGAGCUAUCCUCAGAAAUCAGGGUAGAAGAAACAAGGAGAGCAUGAGGUGUAUAGAACAAAGGAUUAAGUGUAAACAGUUUCACAUCCAUGUGAUCUUGAAAUGAAAGCCUUCUAAAAUGGCUCUGAUAUUUACUGACAUUCAUGUGGAAAAUUUACUUUUACAUAGUGGUUUCCUUAGAAAUUCUACUUUUGGGGACGCCUGGAUGGCUCAGUGGUUGAGCAUCCAUCUGCCUUUGGCUCAGGGUGUGAUCCCGGAGUUCCAGGAUGGAGUCCUGCAUUGGGCUCCCCACAGGGG